CGCAUAUUGCGCCCUUUGGUAUCCCAUAGGGCAUGCCUGUUCGAGCGUCAUAAACACCUCUCAAGCUCUGCUUGGUUCUAGGACUAGCCAGUACUGGUUUUCCUUAAUUCUAGUGGAGCAGAUCUGCCGCCAGAGUGUAGUAAAUUCUUUCUCGCUCUUGGUACAAGAUAGUAGCUUUCUCCAUAAAUCAUCUUGGUUGACCUCGGAUCAGGUAGGAAUACCCGCUGAACUUAA
This 234-nucleotide unclassified non-coding RNA is filed under the name Helotiales sp. RNAcentral's name for it is "partial contains 5.8S ribosomal RNA, internal transcribed spacer 2, and large subunit ribosomal RNA". Lineage: Eukaryota; Fungi; Ascomycota; Leotiomycetes; Helotiales. The record is from RNAcentral.